Molecule: ribosomal RNA, 505 nt
Filed under: uncultured bacterium
Lineage: Bacteria
Description: partial 16S ribosomal RNA
Rfam family: Bacterial small subunit ribosomal RNA
Source: RNAcentral
GACGAACGCUGGCGGCGUGCCUAAUACAUGCAAGUAGAACGCACAGUUUAUACCGUAGCUUGCUACACCAUAGACUGUGAGUUGCGAACGGGUGAGUAACGCGUAGGUAACCUGCCUGGUAGCGGGGGAUAACUAUUGGAAACGAUAGCUAAUACCGCAUAAUAUUGAUUAUUGCAUGAUAAUUGAUUGAAAGAUGCUAUUGCAUCACUACCAGAUGGACCUGCGUUGUAUUAGCUAGUAGGUGAGGUAACGGCUCACCUAGGCGACGAUACAUAGCCGACCUGAGAGGGUGGUCGGCCACACUGGGACUGAGACACGGCCCAGACUCCUACGGGAGGCAGCAGUAGGGAAUCUUCGGCAAUGGACGAAAGUCUGACCGAGCAACGCCGCGUGAGUGAAGAAGGUUUUCGGAUCGUAAAGCUCUGUUGUAAGAGAAGAACGGGUGUGAGAGUGGAAAGUUCACACUGUGACGGUAUCUUACCAGAAAGAGACGGCUAACUACGUG